CCUUUGGGAGGUAAUUAGGAUUAGAUGAUGUCAUAAAGGUGUGAAGCAUUUGUGAAUGGGAUUAGUGUCCUUAUAAGAGUUCUGGUAAAGGUUACUUCCCUCUCUGCUCCCUGCCAUGUGAGGACACAGAGAAGUUAGCAGUCUGCAGCCCAGAAGAGGACACUCACCAGAACCCAACCACGCUGGCACCCUGAUCUCAGACUUCCAGCCUCCGGAAUCGUUUCUGACCCUUGAGCCUAAAAGACUACGGCAUACUACAGGGCAUAUGCCAAGAUGAGAGCAAAAUGGAAAACAGAAAGCAGAUGAGGUGGAUGCAGUUUCAAAUGUGGCUGUGCGCUUCUGGGUAAACAAAGUGAAAAGGGAAAUUCGGUCAACUACAUUGUUCUCAUUAAGCAUGAAGUGAGAAUGCUCAAGUUCCUUAGGACCAGCAAAGCUUUUUUCUAGCACUUAUUUCUCAAAGCACAAUAGGCAUUAUACAAGGAACUACUGGGAGAUAUGGAGGAUGCUGUCUUCAUUAACUGACACUUUGCAGCGAAUUCAAUAAUGGGAUGUAUAAGGCUGCUGUUCAGAGCAUCUGUUAUGAACACUGAGGGACUCAUGCUUCCAUGGUUGGUCAACUUGAUUCUGUGCAGUUGGAAGAAAGGCAAUGUGGUCUGAGUAUGCCAGCAUCCAGAGGCUCUCUGCAAGUGUCAGUGUUCCAGGAACUGGUCCCCAAACAUUUUAGCCACAACUGACUCUCAGCCCAUUUCUGCCCUUUCCCUCUCAGUGCAAGCUCAUUUGUACCAACUUCUGAAGGUUCCACUCUCCCGUCCCGAGGAGGGAAAUACAAGAGAAUUGAAACCUCCUGCCCUUCAUCCCUGAGAAGGGUUGCACAGAGGUGCCUGCAGAUGUCAAGAACUGUCCUCCACAGCAUCCCUGUUCUUUACCUCCUGUCUCCAUGAUUAAUUCAAGCUGUUGGGAUCUCACAUUACCAUCAGGCUGUCACUGCACUGAGGGUCCCAAAUGGCUCCAGCCCAAGCAACAAAUUAAUCCAGGCUGCUGAGCUUCUGGAAGAUGAAGAACUGACCCAUCGGAAAAUAUACAGAUUGGAACAAGCAUAGCUUUAUUCUUCCCCUUCUCGGGAUGGACCCCAACACCUAACCAAGGCUUUCCCUCUUACACUAAGCUUUGAGGACAGCCAUGGCCUCAUAAGAAUCACAAUCCAUUCUACAAGUCCAGCAACAGUUCAUCAAGGAGAGACUGGUGGCCACUGGCCAAGAUCUCUGUAUGCUCCUCAAGGGUUUCAAUAGUUGGAUUCCAUUUACCUCUCUGGAUUCCAGCUGCCUCACCUUAUAAAAUCACAGCUGGUACCAAUCCUCCAGGCUCAGCUCACAGCAAAAGGGCAAAAGAUAUAUCUAGGUCUAAAUAGACCAAAAGCAAAAAAAAGUCUCCAGUAUCCACUGUUAUGGACUGAAUGUUUGUGUGCCCUCAAAAUUCAUAUGUUGAAACCCUAACCCCCAAUGGUUCUGUAUUUGAAGAUGGGGUCUGUGAGAAGAUGACAAAGAUCAAAUGAAGUCAUAAGGAUGGGGCCCUAAUCUCACAGGGUGGGUCCCCUUAUCAGAAGAGGAAGAAACACCAGAGUGCUCUCUCUCUUUCCACCAUGUGAGGACACAGCAAGAAGGUGGCUGUCUGCAAGCCAGGAAGGGAGCCCUCUCCAAAACUGUCCCUGAUGGACUUGGUCUGGUAUGUCUACCCUCCAGAAUUGUGAGAAAAUAAAUUCCUGUUGUUUAAGCCA
RNAcentral lists this long non-coding RNA (1774 nucleotides) under Homo sapiens (human). Its description in RNAcentral is "HSALNT0384610". The record is from RNAcentral. Lineage: Eukaryota; Metazoa; Chordata; Mammalia; Primates; Hominidae.